Molecule: ribosomal RNA, 253 nt
Filed under: uncultured microorganism
Description: partial 16S ribosomal RNA
Rfam family: Bacterial small subunit ribosomal RNA
Source: RNAcentral
UACGUAGGGUGCGAGCGUUAAUCGGAUUUACUGGGCGAAAAGCGUGCGCAGGCGGCCCGUUAAGACAGGUGUGAAAUCCCUGGGCUCAACCUAGGAAUUGCGCUUGUGACUGGCGGGCUCGAGUACGGUAGAGGGGGGUGGAAUUCCUGGUGUAGCAGUGAAAUGCGUAGAGAUCAGGAGGAACACCGAUGGCGAAGGCAGCCCCCUGGGCCUGUACUGACGCUCAUGCACGAAAGCGUGGGGAGCAAACAGG